Molecule: ribosomal RNA, 924 nt
Filed under: Betta sp. SL-2013e
Lineage: Eukaryota; Metazoa; Chordata; Actinopteri; Anabantiformes; Osphronemidae
Description: partial 16S ribosomal RNA
Rfam family: Bacterial large subunit ribosomal RNA (bases 157-662)
Source: RNAcentral
UUAUUAAUACCCCCAAAAGCACUCAAUAUUAAUUAAACAAACCAUUUUUCCCCCCAAGUAUGGGCGACAGAAAAGGAACACUCAGAGCAAUAGAAAAAGUACCGCAAGGGAAUGCUGAAAAAGAAGUGAAACAACUCAGUAAAGUUUAAAAAAGCAAAGAUUCACUCUUGUACCUUUUGCAUCAUGAUUUAGUCAGUAAAAAUAAGCAAAAGGCACUUUAGUUUGAUUUCCCGAAACUAAGUGAGCUACUCCAAGACAGCCUAAAAUAGGGCUAACCCGUCUCUGUGGCAAAAGAGUGGGAUGAGCUUAGAGUAGAGGUGAUAAACCUACCGAACUUAGUUAUAGCUGGUUGCCUGAGAAAUGAAUAGAAGUUCAGCUUUUUGGUUUCUCCCUUCAACCUGUUUAGCUAUAAACGAACCAAAGAAGCCAAAAAAGUUAAUUAAAGGGGGUACAGCUCCUUUAAACAAGAUACAACUUCACCAGCCGGGUAAAGAUCAUAUACAACCAAAGGGAAAAUGUUUUAGUGGGCCUAAAAGCAGCCACCUAUAAGAAAGCGUCAAAGCUCUUUCAUAUCACCACCACCCCCCAAUUCAGAUAAUAUACCCUAAACCCGCUAAUUUUAUCAAGCCGCCCUAUGCUACCAUAGGGGUGAUUAUGCUAAAAUGAGUAAUAAGAAAAGUCACCUUUUCUCCUUGCACUCGUGUAAAUCGAAACGGACCCCCCAUCGAUCAUUAAUCGGCCCCAAAAAAAGAGGGCAAUGAACUAUUAAUCCCAACAACAAGAAAAACACCCAAAUAUCAACCGUUAACCUCACACCAGUACGCUCACAAGGAAAGACUAAAAGAAAAAGAAGGAACUCGGCAAAUACAAGCCUCGCCUGUUUACCAAAAACAUCGCCUCUUGAAAACUAACCAUAAGAGGUCC